AGAGUUUGAUCCUGGCUCAGAGCGAACGUUAGCGGCGGGCUUAACACAUGCAAGUCGCACGAGAAAAGGGCUUCGGCCCCGAGUAAAGUGGCGGACGGGUGCGUAACACGUGGAUAAUCUGCCCUUCAGCGGGGGAUAACUGUCCGAAAGGAUAGCUAAUACCGCAUACGUCGGUCGGGACUACGGUCCUGGUCGGGAAAGUAGGCCUCUCCAUGGAAGCUUACACUGAAGGAGGAGUCCGCGGCCCAUCAGCUUGUUGGCGGUGUAAAAGACCACCAAGGCUAAGACGGGUAGCUGGUCUGAGAGGAUGAUCAGCCACACUGGGACUGAGACACGGCCCAGACUCCUACGGGAGGCAGCAGUGGGGAAUAUUGGGCAAUGGGCGCAAGCCUGACCCAGCCACGCCGCGUGAGUGAUGAAGGCCUUCGGGUCGUAAAGCUCUGUGGGAGGGACGAAAAACCGGGGGCUAAUACCCCUCGGACUGACGGUACCUUCCUUAGCAAGCACCGGCUAACUCCGUGCCAGCAGCCGCGGUA
This 536-nucleotide ribosomal RNA is filed under the name uncultured Pseudomonadota bacterium. RNAcentral's name for it is "bacterial SSU rRNA". It matches the Rfam family "Bacterial small subunit ribosomal RNA", at positions 8 to 522 of the family's 1533-position model. The record is from RNAcentral. Lineage: Bacteria; Pseudomonadati; Pseudomonadota.